Molecule: ribosomal RNA, 1020 nt
Filed under: Triticum aestivum (bread wheat)
Lineage: Eukaryota; Viridiplantae; Streptophyta; Magnoliopsida; Poales; Poaceae
Description: partial small subunit ribosomal RNA
Source: RNAcentral
AUGGUGAUUUUUUGUGAGGCUUGGAACACAAGAACAAAAAAUAUGAUAGAUUUUCGUUUGCUUUCACCUGGCGAUGAGGACGAUGCUAGCAAUGAGCAGCAAGAUCCGGCAUCUACUGUUGCUACUAUUGAUGACAAAGAGCGAUCGACAUGGCAAGCGACUGCUGGCAAUGCUGAGGAUGAUGACUUUAAGCAACUGCUACCAAUGCCGCCACCUAAUGAAACCAGUGAUGAUGUGGUUGACUUUAAGAAAGUCAUACGUUUUUGUCGACCUGAACCAUCGGUGGAGCUAUUGGCUGUGUAUCCACACUUCUUCCCCUUUGUUGGGAAAAUCGUUGUUGACGAGAAUGGUGGUCAAUUUGUCUACCACCAAGAAGAAGGAGAAAAUCCCAAACUUGACUCUGAGGAAAAUUUGGUGCUCACACGGCCAUUCGAAACUAUCUCAGGAUUCGGUUCUGGUUGCAUGACAAUUGAAAUCCCUGAGAUAAGCAGACCUGGUGUUAUUGACACUACUACUCUAGUUUUUGGAGAUUACCCAUGUGUGGAUGCCAAGCAUGAAGAUCGCCUUAUCACAACAAAGUAUGGCCGCCACCUCGUUGUGUCAUAUGUGUUGAUGAAGGAAGGCUUGGGGGUCCAUGUGCAGGUCAGCCUCCGCCUCUUUGGUGACGAUACAUUUCAGACCAUCCACUUGCACGGUCAAAUCACUGCGCAUAACCGGGUCUUCGAGGAUGACAAUGUGUUGCUCUUCUUCUGUGAGGAGGAGGAGAAGGUGCAGCUCACCCCCUCUGCUGGCAAUGGUAGUGUGAUCCUAAAGCCAAUGCAGCGGUUCAUUGUUACGGUGCCAAUCAAUCCACAGCCAUUUCUUACAAUUAAGGUACGGUUGAAUGUGACAACUCCAAGCAACGAGGGGGUUCCCAUCCCCUUUGAAGGUGAUGUUGAGUUCCCUCUUGACAGGGACCAUAGAAUUCGGACAAUCAGCACAAACCACGGUGAGGUGAAAGUCAGUAUCACGUACAAUUGA